AGUGCACCUGGGCAAGGGUUCUGU
Molecule: microRNA, 24 nt
Filed under: Cavia porcellus (domestic guinea pig)
Lineage: Eukaryota; Metazoa; Chordata; Mammalia; Rodentia; Caviidae
Description: cpo-miR-500b-3p
Gene: cpo-miR-500b-3p
Source: miRBase by way of RNAcentral